AAUGCACCAAUUUGUAAGUCGCUUUGGAUAAGAGCGUCUGCUAAAUGACUUAAA
Non-coding RNA from Salmo salar (Atlantic salmon), 54 nucleotides. NCBI's taxonomy places the organism in Eukaryota, Metazoa, Chordata, Actinopteri, Salmoniformes, Salmonidae. The record is from Rfam.